CUAUACAUGACUCUGCGCAUAUCAAUAAGCGGAGGAAAAGGUACCUACGCUUAGGAUGUUGACGAGACUGUCGAUCUCAUCUAUACAUGACUCUGCGCAUAUCAAUAAGCGGAGGAAAAGGCUGCGGAACUGAACGACCGCUACCUACGCUUAGGAUGUUGACGAGACUGUCGAUCUCAUCUAUACAUGACUCUGUGCAUAUCAAUAAGCGGAGGAAAAGAAACUAACUAGGAUUCCCUCAGUAACGGCGAGUGAAGCGGGAAGAGCUCAAAUUUGAAAUCUUCAAGGUUCUACCUUGACGAAUUGUAGUUUAAAGAAGCGUUUUCUGUUGGAGUUUUGGUAAAAGUUCUUUGGAAUAGGACAUCAUAGAGGGUGAGAAUCCCGUAUUUGACCAUUAUUUCCAACUUUGUGAUACACUUUCAAAGAGUCGGAUUGUUAGGGAAUGCAGUCCAAAAUGGGUGGUAAAUUUCAUCUAAAGCUAAAUAUUGGCGAGAGACCGAUAGCGAACAAGUACCGUGAGGGAAAGAUGAAAAGAACUUUGAAAAGAGAGUUAAACAGUACGUGAAAUUGUCAAAAGGGAAGCGUUUGACACCAGUGUUGUUUUUCCGAAAAUCAAUUAUGAAUGGCUUGAUUUUAAGUUUCAUGACCUUAAAAGCUUGUUUCUUAUUUUUCAUGUCUUUCGUAAUGCACUUUUCGGUUAGCAAGUCAACAUCAAUUUCUUUUGUUGUAAAAGGUUAAGAGGAAGGUGGCUUUACUUUCGGGUAAAGUGUUUAUAGCCUUUUAACUCUGCAAUCGGAGAGAUUGAGGUCUGCAGCGUAGAUCCUUCGGGGUUAGAUACAUUUGUGCUAAGUUAUAGCUUUUCAUAGACAACUUGUUGACUAUGUUAAGUCUUGUAAUUUACUCGCAGAUGCUAUUUUACCUACGCUUAGGAUGUUGACGAGACUGUCGAUCUC
RNAcentral lists this ribosomal RNA (953 nucleotides) under uncultured Neocallimastigales. Its description in RNAcentral is "partial large subunit ribosomal RNA". The stretch from base 172 to 953 matches the Rfam family "Eukaryotic large subunit ribosomal RNA", at positions 1 to 646 of the family's 3401-position model. The record is from RNAcentral. Lineage: Eukaryota; Fungi; Neocallimastigomycota; Neocallimastigomycetes; Neocallimastigales.